GACGUAGGGCGCGAGCGUUGUCCGGAUUUAUUGGGCGUAAAGAGCUCGUAGGCGGCUUGUCGCGUCGGCUGUGAAAACCUGCAGCUUAACUGUGGGCCUGCGGUCGAUACGGGCAGACUUGAGUUCGGUAGGGGAGACUGGAAUUCCUGGUGUAGCGGUGAAAUGCGCAGAUAUCAGGAGGAACACCGGUGGCGAAGGCGGGUCUCUGGGCCGAUACUGACGCUGAGGCACGAAGGCCAGGGGAGCAAACGGG
This 253-nucleotide ribosomal RNA is filed under the name uncultured bacterium. Its description in RNAcentral is "partial 16S ribosomal RNA". It matches the Rfam family "Bacterial small subunit ribosomal RNA", at positions 524 to 776 of the family's 1533-position model. The record is from RNAcentral.